UCCUGGGACACCACUAUUUAAAAGGAGAAAUUAAACUUUGUUAGACAUGGUUCAGUCCAUUGUGGGUUUGCUAGUCAGUCGGAGAUUAUGCUUUAGAGACUACUUGCUAUGUACUUAAGAAUGUUCUGAGUAAAUUGAUCACCAAAACUCCAUAUGAGAUAUGAACUUGGGUAAUUCGAUACUCAUUUAUCUUAGGUUUGGGGUGUCAAACUUAUGUGAAAUAUUUACAAACCAACUAGCUUGCAUCUUGAUCUGAUAAAUAUUAUUUUAGGGAUAUUUCUUCUACGUUUCAGAUCGACAUGAGAUGUUCAUGAAUCUUAAGGUAUUUUUUUUAAAAAAAAAUUCUUUGAUGAAGAAAUUGAUGCCGUUAAGAGCAAGCUUAGUGAAACUUGAUAGGUAGAGAAAUCGAUUCUGACACGAACC
This 423-nucleotide long non-coding RNA is filed under the name Elaeis guineensis (African oil palm). RNAcentral describes it as "long non-coding RNA (EGUI_LNC059005)". The record is from RNAcentral. Lineage: Eukaryota; Viridiplantae; Streptophyta; Magnoliopsida; Arecales; Arecaceae.